This 504-nucleotide ribosomal RNA is filed under the name uncultured bacterium. RNAcentral describes it as "partial 16S ribosomal RNA". It matches the Rfam family "Bacterial small subunit ribosomal RNA", at positions 30 to 523 of the family's 1533-position model. The record is from RNAcentral.
AUUGAACGCUGGCGGCAGGCCUAACACAUGCAAGUCGAACGGUAGCACAGAGAGCUUGCUCUCGGGUGACGAGUGGCGGACGGGUGAGUAACGUCUGGGAAACUGCCCGAUGGAGGGGGAUAACUACUGGAAACGGUAGCUAAUACCGCAUAACGUCGCAAGACCAAAGUGAGGGCCCUUCGGGCCUCACACCAUCGGAUGUGCCCAGAUGGGAUUAGCUAGUAGGUGGGGUAAUGGCUCACCUAGGCGACGAUCCCUAGCUGGUCUGAGAGGAUGACCAGCCACACUGGAACUGAGACACGGUCCAGACUCCUACGGGAGGCAGCAGUGGGGAAUAUUGCACAAUGGGCGCAAGCCUGAUGCAGCCAUGCCGCGUGUAUGAAGAAGGCCUUCGGGUUGUAAAGUACUUUCAGCGGGGAGGAAGGCGGUGAAGUUAAUAGCUUCACCGAUUGACGUUACCCGCAGAAGAAGCACCGGCUAACUCCGUGCCAGCAGCCGCCGUAA